Molecule: ribosomal RNA, 256 nt
Filed under: Mithrodia clavigera
Lineage: Eukaryota; Metazoa; Echinodermata; Asteroidea; Spinulosida; Mithrodiidae
Description: partial 28S ribosomal RNA
Rfam family: Eukaryotic large subunit ribosomal RNA
Source: RNAcentral
GGGGGCGCGAGCCCCCCGCGGGAACUGUGGCGUAAGGAAGUCCGGCCCCGAGGCCGCGGCGGCGCCGAGGUCCUUCUGAUCGAGGCCCCCUCCGUCCCAGGGCGGGUGUCAGGCCCCUGCGGGCGCCGUCCGGCCGCGGACCAGGGCUUCCGGGAGUCGGGUUGUUUUGUAGCGCAGCCCAAAGGCGGGCGGGAAACUCCGCCCAAGGCUAAACACCUGCACGAGACCGAUAGAGCACAAGUACCAUGAGGGAAAG